This 443-nucleotide long non-coding RNA is filed under the name Marmota monax (woodchuck). Lineage: Eukaryota; Metazoa; Chordata; Mammalia; Rodentia; Sciuridae. The record is from RNAcentral.
GCUUCAAAUGAGGAACAUGCAAUUUCAGUAGAAAAAAUGACAUCCAAAGUCACAGAUGCUGUAGUCUGGUAUCAAAAGAAGAUUGGAGCAUAUGAUCAACAAAUAUGGGAAGAAUCUGUUGAACAAAGAGAAAUUAAGGGUUUAAGGAAUAAACCAAAGAAAACAGGACAUGUGAAACCAGAUCUCAUUGAUAUUGAUUUUGUAAGAGGGUCUGCAUUUGCUAAGGGAAAACCUGAAAGUCCUUGGAGUUCUCUGACCAGAAAGGGAAUUAUUCAAGUCGAUUUUUUUCUUUCUUUUUUUUUUUUUUCGCUUCCCGUGGUGGUUACAAUUAACAUCAAAAGUCAUCUUUUUCUGGCUUCUUGUCCUUUAUCUUCUUCAAGUUGCUGUACUAGUAUUAUUCUGUCCACUUCCAGCCCACAUGGUAUACCUCUGACAGAAGUGAU